CCCCCUCCUCCUUCUCCUGCUGGGAGUUAGCUGGAGAACCAACAGGCAGCAUUACAGAAAGCUAUAGGCCCCUUCAGCUGGUUGAGGGGGCUCAGCUGGCCCCAUGGCUAGGGCAUUUGUGUCCUGUUUCCUGCCGUGCAGGAGGGGCACUGUGAGGUCCUCCCGCGUCUCACCCCAACCACAUACACACCUGUAAACAAUGGAGCAGUCCAGUCUCCAGCCCUACCUAGAGGAGCGAUUUGUUCUCUGAUUUCCAUAACACAGAAAAAAUAAAAAAAGAAAAAAAAAUCCAAAACGAAAAGUAAAACCACUUUAAACAAUUAGGAGUUUUGUUCGGUUAUUUGGCGAAGGCUGUGUGCUGGGGGAGUGGGUAGUGAGGGAGUUCUUUAUCCCUGGAGAAUCUAAAUGAAGGAAAAGUCAGUUUGAAACCGGCUCCCAAGAUGACGCAGGGGUCUGAACCCAGAAUAAACUCUGAAAGCUAUAUUUUCAGCACAGAAAAGAGGGGCUUCCUAAUGGAAGCUUUGGCAGCCCUUGUGCUGUAGCCCCGGCCCUGGGCAGUGCUGCGCUGCUGUUUAUUUGAGAGGAAGUGGUGGAGAGUGGUCCCUCUUGUGGCGUGUGGUUUUGGCAGUGCCUGGGCUCUCCGUCUUCUGUUUGGGAGUCUGGCCCACCAUGGAGCCCUUGCUCUUGGUUCCAUUGUUAAAGGAUUCCUGCUGCAGUGCAUCCGGGGUGCCCACCAUGAGAUUCCUUUGUCGUGGAAGAAGGUGCCACCCUUUCCACCUGCCUCUUUUCUGGGGGGAUUUUCUGCCUGCUUGCAUGGGAGGCAUGUGGCUGUAGGUGGGGAGGGCAAGGGGCUGACUAGAAGUGGAGGUGAAGGGUGAAGCCACAGGAGGUGCCGUGGCACUUGUCUUCUUGGCCCUCCUGCCUCUGAACCCCAGUGACGGUCUCUUGCGGGCUGGUGGCUCCACCUUUUGGUCUGUGCUGGGACCUGGCAGGAAAACCAUGCUUGGCUGUGUGAGAAUGGCAGAGUAUGGUGGGCCUGGGGCAGAGUGGUGGUGGUGGCAGAGGAACGAAAAGGAUGGUGUUGGGGUAGCCAUGGGAACGCCAGCUUUGUAACAAGACAGAUACGGGUUUGAAUCUUGGCCCCAGCACUGAUUGCUGAUGACUUUGGGUAAAUAGCUUGACCUUUCUGAGGGCCAGUUUCUUGAUCUUUAAUACGGCCAUAAUCAUACCUACCCCAGAUAAAGGCUCAGGACCUCUUGUGUCACACAAAAUAUCGUGUGAUUUUGAAAGCAAUGCCUCGGACUCAGACCUAUAGGCCAUAGUUUAGGGGAACCCAAAUCCUUCUCCAGCAAUAGGGCUUAUGCUCAUGUGGAGUCCUCUGUCCCAGCUACCAAUUGGUGCUGUAGCCUGUUUUGCCUCCAUCAGCCCACACUCAAAACUCAGCUCCUGCCCCGAUUUCCACAAAACCCACUCAUAGCAAGCACUUUGCAAGCUUAAUAUACCUUACAGACAAUCUGGGGAUACUGAACAAGCAGCUUAUUAUCUCAUUCACUGUUCUUUUUCCUCAUCUUUCUUUACUCCUGUCCUCCUAGAUUUCUCAGACUGCCAAAUUCUUUCCCCUCUAUGCACAGGGCAAUUCAGCUCUCCCCAUGUCCUACUCCCAAUAUUGCACACCAACACUUCUAGAAUUGCUUAACAGAUUUCACCAGAUCUAAAUGUCUCUAAAAACAGUGGAAUAGAAAAUAACAAAUCUACUACUGAUAGUGCCUACUUCAUAGCAUUUUUAUGAGUAAUACUAUCACCACAGUGACUAGCACAUGGUAAUACUAUCACCACAGUGACUAGCGCAUAGUGAUCAAUAGCUAUAACCAUUUGAAGAAACCAGGGGUGAGUGUAUCUGAGAAUCCAAGAAAAGAUAUUGGCACGUUGGUGGAUCAAAAAGCAGAUAUUGGGGUCAGCAUAUUUUGCCUUAAUCUCACCAGCAUUUCUACAUCUUGUUGACACUUUGUGAAGUGGGCAGGACAGCCUCCACCACACCCUUUAUACAGGAAGACAAAGCGACUUGCCCAGAUUCACCAACUGGGAAGUGGCGAGUGUUUAUUAUGGAUCAACAUGUGUAAACUGUAGGGGGAGGGGGUAGAAUGGGACAGAGGGAGAAGUUGAUCAGCAAACCCUAUUGGGAGCUGUGGAGCAUACGCAGCCCUCAGAGGUGUCCUGUCAUGGGUCUUUGUACCCCUGCCACUGUUAGCUGUUGCAUUUGGGCUACCCGGAAAGGAAAGAGAUGCCCUUGGGCAAAGCAGCUGUCUAUGGCAAGCACACUCUGAAGGAGCUGACAGCUGGAGGCAAGUCCUUCCCUCCAGAAAGGGCAUUUGGGCAGUGCAUCUCCUGUCCUACCACUUUCUUCAUCUGCAAAAUGGGGAUCAUGAUAGUACCAGCUUGCAGGGUUAAAGUAAGGUAGUGGGUGCAGGUGUCUUCCAUAAACAACAGUUGUCUUUAAGGGCACUGUGGGUACUCUGUCUACCAGGCAGCUCUGGCUGUGGGAGCCCCUCCCAAUAGAGCUGCCACCAGCCCUUUCUGAUAGGACUAACUCCCCAGGAAUGUCAGGGUGGUGACUCCGGAGCACUUACAAUUGGACACUGUGAAGAUGAUCAUUGUGUUGCAUCACCACUGCCCUUCAUUCAGUUGUUUCAGAUUAAAUUCAUCAUAACAAGAGGUCUCUGAUCAAAAACAUUGAACUUAAAUACGGGGGGAACUCUGGAAAAAAAGGAAUGCUGAAAGAAGCUGAGUUUCCUUUCAUUCUGAGGACUCUGAAUACAUUUGAGACUUGCAUCUUACUCUUCUAAAGCCAUGCAGCCCAAGCUUUCUAUUCCAUGUUAGUCAGGAUGUAGGAGUCAUUUCAGACCAAGUCAGGUUGGGGUAGAUGAUUAGAAUGAUGCUUGUAGAGAUUAUCACAAUAAUGGCCCCCAAUGAAUCAUACUUUCUGAUACCAUGCCCUUGUGUAGUGUUCUUCCACACUGACUCUGGGCCUAGCCAUGUGUCCUGUUUUGGUCCAUGUGACAUCAGCUAACAUAACCCAAGCAGAGACUUGGUAAGUGCUUGCUCACAGGGAUUUGCUUGAAGCUCCAACUGGCCUUCUUGAGGAUGAGAGACCAGGUGAAAGAGAGGACCUGCCCUCCCAGCCAAUUCUCCUGCUGAAUGGAGCCUAGGUGAAGCCAGCAGAGCCUCCCAGCUGUCCUACAGAGUCACGAGAAAUAAUAAAUUGCUGUUAUGAUGAUUUUUAAAAUUGAGGUGAAAUACACCAUAACAGAAAAUUCACUAUUUUAAGGUAUGCAAUUCAUGGCAUUUAGUAUCUUUAUAAUGUUGUGCAACCACCACCUCUUUCUAGUUCUAAAACGUUUUCAUCACUCCAAAAGCAAACCCUGUAUCCAGUAAGCAGUCACUUCUCAUUCCCUGCCCCCUCUAACUCCUGGCAACCACCCAUCUGCUUCCUGUCUCUAUGGAGACACUUUUGUGACUGGCUUCCUUCACUUAGCAUAAUGUCUUCAGUGUUCAUCCAUGUUGUAGCAUAUAUCGCUACUUCAUUUCUUUUUGCACUCAAAUACAUGUAUGCAAUGUUCAUAGAAGCACUAUUCACUAUAGCCAAAAGGUGAAAACAAUCUAAAUGUCCAUUAACUGAUGAACAGAUAAGCAAAAUGUGUUGUACCCAUACAAUUAAAUAUUAUUGAGUGAUAAAUUGCUGUUAUUUUAAGCCAUCAGGUUUUGGGCUGGUUUGUUAACUGUAGUAAUAGAUAACAGAGAAUUUUUAAGGUGGUUGGAGUAAUAACAAGAGCUAUCACAUCUUACACUGCAUGCAAUGUACUAUGUGAAGCACUUUGUGUGAAUUCUGCUUUAAUCCUCACAAGAACCCUGUGGUUUAGGUACUAAUAUUGACCCCAGUUCACAAAUGGGAAAACUGAGAAAUUAAAUAUUUGCCCAAGUUAACCCAGACAGUUCAAUUCCAGAGCUCAUGCCUUAUUCACUCGCUGUACUACAAUCCAGCCAUAAAUGAAAGGCCUACUCUGGAAGAUCUAACUAAGGACAUGAGUGUGUAGCUUUGCUGUGAAAGAGACACCAUUCUCAGCUUUUUUAUAUAGUGAAUAUCACUGGUAGAAAUGAUCAACAGAAUUUAAAGCCUUUAGUAGUUAAAAUCUAAUCUGUGCAGUCUGACUUGGGAAUAUUGAACUUUGUAGAACAAUGUCUAUAUAGUAAGUUUUCAAGGGCAAAAGUUACAACCAUAAUAUUUGAUAUAAAUAAACCAAUUGAGUAAUGCAUCAAAGCUUUAUAUAAAACUGACACAGG
This 4338-nucleotide long non-coding RNA is filed under the name Homo sapiens (human). Its description in RNAcentral is "HSALNT0140775". The record is from RNAcentral. Lineage: Eukaryota; Metazoa; Chordata; Mammalia; Primates; Hominidae.